GGUUGACAUGCUUCGAAGUACGGUAAUGGAAUAUUUAGAUUUUUUUUGUCACGAAUUGCGCUAUGCGCGCGACCCUGAUUUACCAUUUCAGAUAGUGUCUGGGACGCACAAACAAAACGCCGCUAUUCGGAUAUAACGAUGGAUUAUUUUGGACCAAACCAACAUUUGUUAUUGAAGUAGCAGUCCUGGGAGUGCAUUCUGACGAAGACAACAAAAGAAGACAGCCGUUACAGAACUACCCACCACCAAAGGACCAAGCAGCGGAGAAGAGGACAGAGGCAAGUGAGGGAG
Molecule: long non-coding RNA, 291 nt
Filed under: Salmo salar (Atlantic salmon)
Lineage: Eukaryota; Metazoa; Chordata; Actinopteri; Salmoniformes; Salmonidae
Description: lncRNA (ENSSSAG00000093196.1)
Source: RNAcentral